GGGCAAGUUAGUUGCUCCAAAAACAAGAUAAAAUGAUUGAGUUCUUUUCUCAAGCGGGAGUCGGAGUUUAUCUGCUCUGAGAAAUAUUGAUGUUAAAGAGGAAACUAACUUUCUGAACCAUUAAAUGUAAUAUCAUUUAUCUCACCAAAUCCCAAGAUAGAGCCCCAGCAGCUACUAUUAAUGAGUGUCUGGAAUAUGUUCCUGGCAUUUCACCUACCCUCUCUCCAAUCCUUCCAAGAAACUCACAAAGCAGGGCUUUUUCUUGAACUUCUCUUCCUCACAACAGUUAAAUCAUCCAUUUAAAGAUGUCAAACAACCUCCGUGUUCUAAGCCAGACCAUCAACUUAACUUGUAAAACUACCAACUGUUGCUACACACAGGCAAAGGAAUUAAACUUGGUAGCUGAUCAUUUGAUUACAUCUAUCAGUCUACUGGAGGGCUUCAACGCAGAGUAGGUGGAAUUCAUGGUUCAAAUCAGAGUAUUAAUGGGAUCUGUUUGCACACCAAUACCUGAUCUCCUUGGCACAAAUACAGAGCUGAUUCUUAAAGCAUGUCCCCACAAUAAAGCUUUUCUUAAU
Molecule: long non-coding RNA, 578 nt
Filed under: Homo sapiens (human)
Lineage: Eukaryota; Metazoa; Chordata; Mammalia; Primates; Hominidae
Description: non-protein coding LINC00472:40
Source: RNAcentral